This 20-nucleotide non-coding RNA is filed under the name Cricetulus griseus (Chinese hamster). Its record names the gene cgr-miR-674. RNAcentral also lists the same sequence under 1 other name. Lineage: Eukaryota; Metazoa; Chordata; Mammalia; Rodentia; Cricetidae. The record is from miRBase by way of RNAcentral.
CACAGCUCCCAUCUCAGAAC